GUGAUAUCGCUGGCGAUCUGACUGAGACAUCUGUCACCCCAUUGAUCGCCAGAGUUGAUUCGGCUGAUCUGAUUGGCUAGGCGGGUGAUCCCUUCCUUCCUCACUGCUCCCAUGUGUGUCUCGCCUGAAGCUGCUAGCUCGGUUGAAGAGGAUAGCCUUCCCUGAAUGGAGACAGACUGGUCUUCGGUCGAGGGUAUAGGAGUAGCUGCGCUCCCCUGCUAGAACCUCCAAACAAGCUCAAUUUUCAAAGUAGAUAAAUUUUUAUAAAAUAAAUUCUAUCGCCUAACCCAUUAUUUUUAAUGCAUGUGCUACUGG
RNAcentral lists this small nuclear RNA (315 nucleotides) under Sorex araneus (European shrew). RNAcentral describes it as "7SK RNA (ENSSARG00000018193.1)". It matches the Rfam family "7SK RNA". Rfam says of the family: 7SK was discovered as an abundant small nuclear RNA in the mid-70s but a possible function has only recently been suggested. Two independent studies have found that 7SK RNA binds the CDK9/cyclin T complex (known as elongation factor P-TEFb). P-TEFb activates transcription by phosphorylating the C-terminal domain of RNA polymerase II. The record is from RNAcentral. Lineage: Eukaryota; Metazoa; Chordata; Mammalia; Eulipotyphla; Soricidae.